Molecule: long non-coding RNA, 370 nt
Filed under: Parus major (Great Tit)
Lineage: Eukaryota; Metazoa; Chordata; Aves; Passeriformes; Paridae
Description: lncRNA (ENSPMJG00000018180.1)
Source: RNAcentral
UUUGUCUUUAGUUUCUACUCUUUCUGUUUUUUCUCACAUGGUAUUUUUGUUCUUCUUUUUCAGAAACUUGUGCUCUGUUCCCACGCUCCACGUCUAUAUUAAUGUCUCUCUUACUGAGCAGAGCUGAGCAGUCAAGAUGAAGCUAAGAUCAAGAGCUAACAUUGUCCAAAUGGAUAUCAGAUGCCAACUGUACUUCUUUGAGUCACAGAGAACCAUCUGGUCAUCUGGGUUUGAUGUCAUGAUGUGCUGUGAUAUUAUUAGACUGCUUAGCUUGAUGCAUGAGAAGGAUACAGAUUUAAGCAACAGGCAAAGGAGAAUUAUGUAUUUGAAGAAUAACAUGUUUUUAAGCUGCAAGAAGCAAAUCACCUAG